GACGAACGCUGGCGGCGUGCUUAACACAUGCAAGUCGAACGGAAAGGCCCUGCUUGCAGGGUACUCGAGUGGCGAACGGGUGAGUAACACGUGGGUGAUCUGCCCUGCACUUCGGGAUAAGCCUGGGAAACUGGGUCUAAUACCGGAUAGGAGCCAUUUUUAGUGUGAUGGUUGGAAAGUUUUUUCGGUGUAGGAUGAGCUCGCGGCCUAUCAGCUUGUUGGUGGGGUAAUGGCCUACCAAGGCGGCGACGGGUAGCCGGCCUGAGAGGGUGGACGGCCACAUUGGGACUGAGAUACGGCCCAGACUCCUACGGGAGGCAGCAGUGGGGAAUAUUGCAUAAUGGGAGCAAGCCUGAUGCAGCGACGCCGCGUGGGGAUGACGGCCGUCGGUUUGGAAACUCCGUUCGCUAGGGACGAAGCUUUUUGUGACGUUACCUAGAGAAGAAGCACCGGCUAGCUACGUG
RNAcentral lists this ribosomal RNA (464 nucleotides) under uncultured bacterium. Its description in RNAcentral is "partial 16S ribosomal RNA". It matches the Rfam family "Bacterial small subunit ribosomal RNA", at positions 28 to 507 of the family's 1533-position model. The record is from RNAcentral.